Molecule: long non-coding RNA, 2107 nt
Organism: Gallus gallus (chicken)
Lineage: Eukaryota; Metazoa; Chordata; Aves; Galliformes; Phasianidae
Source: Ensembl
AAGAGGCUGCUCUCAGUGUCACACUGCAACAGCAUGUGGCCCAGAAGGCUGAAGAGAAAGAAUAAAAGAAUUAUUUUAAUAACGUCUUAGGCCCCAGAUGGAAGCUAUAUUGGUUUGCAAACAAGAUUGGGUUUGUUUGGAUAAAGCAGGGUGACAGACAGUAAACUUGUCAGAUAAGUGGAUACUCACUUUAAGAUUUUUAAUAUGCAAGAAUUAUUGGUGUCCUUACUGCGGAGAGCCCUCUGGGUCAGGAAUAAAUAAAUAUUUCAGCAGCAAGCUGAGGUUGUAUCCUGUAUCUUCUAGUAGAACAAGGCAUCUGUUUUAGAGUGUGACUCCUGCUCACAGCCUCAGCGACAUCACCACGUGCACUCUGCCAUCCUGCCUGAUGACUGCCAAGAGAUGGUGGUAGGACCCUCCCAAGUGGACAAAGUCUAAUGCGAUCCAACAGGUCACACUGUUAGGCAGAAUUGAGGCUGGUAGUAUCAGUUUACCCUGCAAAGGCACAUUGAGUAGGCAAAGAGUUUUGUUGAAGUUUUACUCUUGGGCUGAAUUUAUGAUGCCCUGAGGUAAACAGAACAAGCAUCUGAAUAUCUCCAAUACAUUGACCUCUAUGAGAUCAUCAAAUGGCACUGAAGUAUUAUAGCAGAAGAACAAGAAAGCUUGUAUCAUAUAGAAGGCAUUAUGUUGGAAAUGAGCAAAUGCAUUUCAUAGAAUCACAGAAUCAGCAGCUGAAACAUUGCAAUGGACAGCAUACUCUAAUGGACAAGGAUAGAGCUGUGCUGGUGCACCAAACCAUGAUGCAUUGCAGGUCAGCAGUUGCCAUGCAAACAGCUCAGGAUAGUGGCAACAGUCAUCCUUGUCAGUCCAAGAGGUGUCAACUGGAGAAGCUAUGGCGAGCCAGGCAGUCUGAAAGGGAAAAUGUUGUGAAGUUUUGAGAAUGAAAGAAGAUUAAAACAAACACAUAAACAAAUAAAUAACAUCAGAAGUCUUUGCAAUAUGAUUGUGAUUGAAUUAAGCUGAGAAGGGGUAAGACCCAAUCACGUUGCAUCAUAUUACAGUACACAGAAGUUGAGGGCUAUUCUGUCCAUGCGAAGUAGACAGGAACUUGGCUUUUAUGGCAUCACCUAGAUGGGUUUUACACAGACAGAGAUUAAGAAUUUUGCCUGUUUUGAUGAAUAAUGUAGUGAAUCAUUUUUCUUACAAAAUAUUUUGACAGUAAGUGAAAUCUGGAGAUAUAUGUUAGAACAUAACUGAAGCUGAAAUGAAUCUAAGAACUGGAAGAAGUAUGCAGCUUUAGAAGCUUUAAACAAUUACAUGACUGUAGGGAACAUACUGUCCAUGAAGACCUAAUGAGCAUUAUUCUUAAUGGAGACCCUGGAGUAAUUCGAGGCCAGGCUGGACUGGGCUCUGGGAAAACUCAUCCAGCUGUACGUGUCCCUGAUUGUUGCUGGGAAGUUGGACUAGAUGGUCUUUAAGGGACCCUUCCAAUUCAAAAGGUUCUAUGAUUCUUUGAUUCUGUUAGACCUGCCUUCUCCUUCAGAAUUCUAAUCACUCUGCUGCCAAUCUCUAACUGAAAGCACAACAGAAGUACGCAUUUAUUUACCAAAGAUGAACAUUCAGUGAGUUAGCUGGGUACUAUUGUGGGGAAAGAAAAGAUGUUUUUUGCAUAACAGUAAGAUGACUCCAGAGAGGUCCAAAGAGGCGCCACAGAGCUCCGAUGCAAGAUACAUUCCUGCUUGCAGAAUAGAAGAUCUGCAUUUUUGAGUAACAUCAGCAGCUGUACUGGUACAAACUGGUUCUAUGGUUUUGAAUGAUAGCCAGAGGGGAAGGUUAACUAUGAGACGUUAUCCCAGCAUGCCACAGUAAGUAAAAACUAAACUAGAAUAUGAGGAGAUCAAGGAGGGAAUAACCAAGAAGUAAAAAGGGGCAGAAAGGCAAUUAGAAAUGGUGGAUAGGCUGUAAACCCUGGAGUAUGUGACCAAUGGGGAAACGAGAGUGAAUUUAAGCCAGGAAGCCGGAAAUAUAAACUGCUGGGUCUCUCUGGUCCUACACACCUUUUAUCAUUGUUGCCCUCUCUUGCAAAAGCAUGAAAUAAAUUAUGAUUCAU